This 472-nucleotide ribosomal RNA is filed under the name uncultured bacterium. Its description in RNAcentral is "bacterial SSU rRNA". It matches the Rfam family "Bacterial small subunit ribosomal RNA", at positions 28 to 496 of the family's 1533-position model. The record is from RNAcentral.
GAUGAACGCUAGCGGCAGGCCUAAUACAUGCAAGUCGAGCGGCAAGUCGAGGAGUAAUCUAAGACCUAGAGCGGCGCACGGGUGCGUAACGCGUAUGCAACCUACCUUAUACUGGGGGAUAGCCCGGAGAAAUCUGGAUUAAUACCCCAUGGCACAUAUUGAUGGCAUCUGAGAUAUGUUAAAGAUUUAUUGGUAUAAGAUGGGCAUGCGUCUGAUUAGCUAGUUGGCGGUGUAACGGACCACCAAGGCGACGAUCAGUAGGGGUUCUGAGAGGAAGGUCCCCCACACUGGCACUGAGAUACGGGCCAGACUCCUACGGGAGGCAGCAGUAGGGAAUAUUGGGCAAUGGACGCAAGUCUGACCCAGCCAUGCCGCGUGCAGGAUGAAGGCGUUAUGCGUUGUAAACUGCUUUUAUACAGGAAGAAACGACUCUUGCGAGAGGCAUUGACGGUACUGUAUGAAUAAGCACCGG